Molecule: ribosomal RNA, 253 nt
Filed under: uncultured bacterium
Lineage: Bacteria
Description: partial 16S ribosomal RNA
Rfam family: Bacterial small subunit ribosomal RNA
Source: RNAcentral
UACGUAGGGUGCGAGCGUUAAUCGGAAUUACUGGGCGUAAAGCGUGCGCAGGCGGUUCGUUAAGUCAGAUGUGAAAGCCCCGGGCUCAACCUGGGAACUGCAUUUGAAACUGGCGGGCUUGAGUAUGGCAGAGGGGGGUGGAAUUCCGCGUGUAGCGGUGAAAUGCGUAGAGAUGUGGAGGAACACCGAUGGCGAAGGCAGCCUUCUGGGCCAACACUGACGCUCAUGCACGAAAGCGUGGGGAGCAAACAGG